Molecule: long non-coding RNA, 1090 nt
Organism: Helicoverpa armigera (cotton bollworm)
Lineage: Eukaryota; Metazoa; Arthropoda; Insecta; Lepidoptera; Noctuidae
Exons: 2
Source: RefSeq, a predicted model, not a curated record
UCAGGAAGCUAGACCUGAACCAGGACGGAGUGAUCACCAUCGAGGAGUUCCUGGAGUCGUGCCUCAAAGAUGACGUCAUCACCAGAUCACUGCAAAUGUUCGACACAGGACUAUGACGGCAAACUGAUGCGGCGCUCACGCCAACCCCCAACAGGACCGUAGCCAAGCGUCUCCGCGGCCGCAGCGUCCACCGUCGCUGUCAAUGCGGCCGAUCAGCCGGGCUGCUACGCGCGGCGGCCGAUUGGCUGCGCCCGCGCCGCCUCUCGCCCUACAUAGCGGCCCUCGAUCACUUCUACAGCCGUGUCGUCAGACCUCGCUUGAGAAGUGUGCUGUUACUCCAGUUUUAACUUGAAGGUCAUUUUUGAAAGGAUUCGUGACUCUUAAGACGUAUAUAAAUGUCAUUUUUUUUGUCUGUUAUGUAUAAGUUUAAACCCGUCUGCCAAAUGCGUAAGAAUUUACAGAUUUAAUAAUUAAAUUCGAUAUUUGCCAAUGGUUAAUUUAUUACCCUCACACUCAGAGACAUUUAAUGAUUACUUAAGUCACUCCUCAGUGACGGAUUGUCAAAGAAAUACUUCACUAAGGAAUGGCUUAAGUAACCAUUAAAUGUCUCUGAGUGUGUCCAUUAGAGUCUUUUUUAUGGUAUGCUACAAAAAAAUACUUUUUAAGAACUGAUAAAUCUGAAAUAGCAAAAUACAGAUGUCAGCACAAUCAACGUACCCCAAUCUGUCAAAUGUCUUCAAUAGAGUUUCAACCUUAUCACAAUAGUGAAAGGUUCGUUUUUGAUUGCUAAAAUUUGACAGAUUCGUAUAGGUUGACCUGCUGGCGUUUGUACCAUAAAUAUGUUAAGAUAUCUAACUGAAAAGUGACCUCAAAAAUGAAUGAUAUUAAAUUAACAAAAAUUGUUAGCUGGUAAUACAAGCCCUAAACUCAUAACUCAUACGGCCUCACUACAAAAACUUAAACAUCUGUUGAACACUUGACUGCAAAACGGAUACUUCAACGUAAUAAGUUGUAAUUUUUUAGACAAGUGUUCAACAGACGUUUAAAAGUUUUUGUGAUAACACGGAUAUUGUACCUUUGUUUUUAAAUU